CCUACGGGAGGCAGCAGUGGGGAAUUUUGGACAAUGGGCGCAAGCCUGAUCCAGCCAUGCCGCGUGAGUGAAGAAGGCCUUCGGGUUGUAAAGCUCUUUUGUCCGGGAGCAAGUCCUACUGGCUAAUAUCUGGUGGGGAUGAGAGUACUGGAAGAAUAAGCACCGGCUAACUACGUGCCAGCAGCCGCGGUAAU
RNAcentral lists this ribosomal RNA (194 nucleotides) under uncultured beta proteobacterium. Its description in RNAcentral is "partial 16S ribosomal RNA". It matches the Rfam family "Bacterial small subunit ribosomal RNA", at positions 338 to 524 of the family's 1533-position model. Lineage: Bacteria; Pseudomonadati; Pseudomonadota; Betaproteobacteria. The record is from RNAcentral.